RNAcentral lists this ribosomal RNA (330 nucleotides) under uncultured Denitratisoma sp. Its description in RNAcentral is "bacterial SSU rRNA". It matches the Rfam family "Bacterial small subunit ribosomal RNA", at positions 568 to 898 of the family's 1533-position model. The record is from RNAcentral. Lineage: Bacteria; Pseudomonadati; Pseudomonadota; Betaproteobacteria; Nitrosomonadales; Sterolibacteriaceae.
UGCGCAGGCGGUUCGUUAAGUCAGCUGUGAAAGCCCCGGGCUCAACCUGGGAAUUGCGGUUGAAACUGGCGAACUAGAAUCUGGCAGAGGGGGGUGGAAUUCCACGUGUAGCAGUGAAAUGCGUAGAGAUGUGGAGGAACACCGAUGGCGAAGGCAGCCCCCUGGGCUGAGAUUGACGCUCAGGCACGAAAGCGUGGGGAGCAAACAGGAUUAGAUACCCUGGUAGUCCACGCCCUAAACGAUGUCAACUAGGUGUUGGGGGAGCAAUCUCUUGGUACCGCAGCUAACGCGUGAAGUUGACCGCCUGGGGAGUACGGUCGCAAGAUUAAA